UACGUAGGGUGCAAGCGUUAAUCGGAAUUACUGGGCGUAAAGCGUGCGCAGGCGGUUGUGCAAGACAGAUGUGAAAUCCCCGGGCUCAACCUGGGAAUUGCAUUUGUGACUGCACGGCUAGAGUGUGUCAGAGGGGGGUAGAAUUCCACGUGUAGCAGUGAAAUGCGUAGAGAUGUGGAGGAAUACCGAUGGCGAAGGCAGCCCCCUGGAAUAACACUGACGCUCAUGCACGAAAGCGUGGGGAGCAAACAGG
This 253-nucleotide ribosomal RNA is filed under the name uncultured bacterium. RNAcentral's name for it is "partial 16S ribosomal RNA". It matches the Rfam family "Bacterial small subunit ribosomal RNA", at positions 524 to 776 of the family's 1533-position model. The record is from RNAcentral.